This 62-nucleotide transfer RNA is filed under the name Malachiinae sp. GENSP01. RNAcentral's name for it is "tRNA-Arg". The record is from RNAcentral. Lineage: Eukaryota; Metazoa; Arthropoda; Insecta; Coleoptera; Melyridae.
AAAUAAGAAACAAUUUAUGUAUUUAGUUUCGACCUAAAAAUUAGGCUUUAUUGCCCUUAUUU